This 253-nucleotide ribosomal RNA is filed under the name uncultured bacterium. Its description in RNAcentral is "partial 16S ribosomal RNA". It matches the Rfam family "Bacterial small subunit ribosomal RNA", at positions 524 to 776 of the family's 1533-position model. The record is from RNAcentral.
UACGGAGGGAGCUAGCGUUGUUCGGAAUUACUGGGCGUAAAGCGCACGUAGGCGGCUUUGUAAGUUAGAGGUGAAAGCCCGGGGCUCAACUCCGGAACUGCCAUUGAAACUGUUUAGCUUGAGGAUGAGAGAGGUGAGUGGAAUUCCCAGUGUAGAGGUGAAAUUCGUAGAUAUUGGGAAGAACACCGGUGGCGAAGGCGGCUCACUGGCUCAUUACUGACGCUCAGGCGCGAUAGCGUGGGGAUCAAACAGG